Molecule: long non-coding RNA, 5713 nt
Organism: Pungitius pungitius (ninespine stickleback)
Lineage: Eukaryota; Metazoa; Chordata; Actinopteri; Perciformes; Gasterosteidae
Exons: 6
Source: RefSeq, a predicted model, not a curated record
UAUUGAAAUUGUUAAGACUUGUGUCAACAUUUUAAAGUUUAAAUGGUGUCUCUAGCUGAAAGAUUGGAAAAGCUGAAAAAGUUUUGAGAGGAUUUGAAAAUUUAAUCCAUUGGAAAUUAUGUUAAAAAGGUUGAUGAUUUUAAUUUAUAUUAAUUCAAUUAUAAGAGCUAAAAAGCUGAAAAGUCAUAGCACCCCUCUCCUGAAGGAGCUGAACAUUUUAAUAUUUGAAUGGUCUUACAGUUUUUCUCGAUUGCUUACACACAUUUUCCUAAAGCAUGCCUCAUACUCUCAGAACUCUACACACAAAUCAAAAAACACACAUAAUGGACAAAACCCCUCAAUACUCCUGCAAAAUUAAACUUUAAAUUCAAAACAGUGUAAUUUCUUCUCAAAAUGGUAUUUUGUUUUCAAAUGACACACACAAACCAUCAUAUGAACAGACUUUUAUAAGAACCAGUUGAACACUGAUGUGCUCAAUUUAAAACACUGAUGAAUGGAAAAAAAACUUCUCCAUUCAUCAUAAUGACUUUGACCUUUUUUUGUUCAGUGUUACACUUACUACAGACAGUACAUACAUAUGUGUUGUAAAAUAUUUUAGAAUAUUGUUUUUAUACUCAGAACACACAAAUACAUGAUAACAAAUAUAUUUUACAGUAUUUUUCCCACGAAAACAAUGUACACAGUGUACAUCCCAACCAACACAAAGUUGCACAUACAAUGGUCUACAUACAAAACAACAGAAGAAUUUACUGUAUACAGUUACAGUAAAAAUCUAUGCUGCAUCCUGUCUUCUGUUCCGGUCUGUUCCACAGAACCUCAUCCACAUCACAAGCAAUGUUUUCCCUGGCCAAGCAGCGGGGGAAAUAUCGCUCAGCAUGUCGAAUCCAGCCAUGAAAAGUAUCAACUGCUUUAUCUCCACAUGCGUCUUCCAUAGCUUAGAGAAGGGGGAUAUGCGUUUGUGGAUUUCAGUCACACACUUUCCAUCUCCAGGCAGAAAAGAAUUCCUCCAUAGCUUUGGUCAACCAAAGUGACUCGGAUCUCAUCAGAGUUUACGGUCCUUGGCCUUCCUCGUCCUUGUCCUCCUCCUCCUCCUCCUCUUACUCUCACUCCUCUGGCUCUGUUGUUGGCAUCCAUUGCUCCAAUACAGAAGAGCUCACCUGUUGCCCUUUUAUGCUAAAGCUCUGAUUCCUAAUUGUAACACUGUGUGACAGGUGUUUUCCCAUGUGACGAGUCAGUGUGCAUAGUAGGGCAAUUGACUUUAGAAUUUUGAAUGACAGUGUUUUUCUUGUGUAAACAACAUUUUUUUGUGCAGAGAAUGCAGAGAAUUGUGUGUAGUGUUUUGAAAAAAGUGUGUUUUAGAACUGCAAUUUGAGUUUAAAGCAAGAAUUGUGCCUGUAGUUUAGCAGAAUUGUUUCAGGGGGUUGGUGCAUGAGUUACAUGUUGUGGUCAUUGUGUGUCAAGUACCAGUAUUUGUGUGUAAACAAUUGAGAAAAACUGUAAAUGGAAUGUAAAGUGAUGGUCCUAAAGGAAUAAUGUAUGUGGCUCCAUCUGCUGGAAGAAUUUGUUUGUGUUUUCAAAUUGUUUUUCUAUUGAAUACGUUGAGUCAGUUUACAACAAUAAAACUAAAUCAGUAAAAUCCAGGAGUCCUGCAAUGAAUCAUACUUCAUGAAGGUUAGUAGUAAAGGUUAUAGUGUUUGAUUUCAGAAAGGUGCAUAUUCCGUUUCAUAUUUGAGGCUUUAGAUUGGGCUGGUGUUGAACUUUAUAGUAAUAUUUAUCAUGCCAUUAAUAUAUAUAUAUAUAUAUAUAAGUAUAUUGCAUUUUGAGAAGGGGCAGUUAGCCACAUUAAAUCUUUCAAAUAAUUGAAAACCCUAACUGUAUCAGUAUACCCAACAUGCGUAACGUUUAGUCUGUGCAUUAUUAAACAAAAUCAUGACUAAAUGUGUGGGAAAGUAGCAGAUUUAAAAACAAAAUGUUAAUUAAUAUGAAUAUUAAACCAAAAUCUAGGAGAAAUUAAGACAUUUGGAAAAAGAGAUGGGGAAAGUAUAAAUAGCAAUGCUUUUUUCAAAUUCUGUUUUUGUCAAUUCGUUCUCAAAACUUUGGGAAUGAUAUUGAGGUUAAAAUGGUUUCUGUUCUGCUAAAGUUAGAAAAUAUACAGUGUCUAAUACAGCUGUAGAUAAGAUAUUGCAGGAGUUUAACUAUUUGAUUAAUUUUCAAGUCUGUUUUGAUUACUCAAAAGAAUAUUCAGCCCAUUAUUAGCAUUAAGAGAUAAUGGAUGCCAGUUUGACCAGUGAGUAGUUGAAAAGCCGAACAGCACGAUCUGUGAAAGAAUCCUUGUUAGAAGCAAAUGGUGAUACAGAUGUUGAGAGGUUUACUAAAGGACCCACUUUAUUGUUGUGGAAUCAGUAGGAUACAUGCAACGAAAAGAAUAUUAAGUCAUUUAAAUGUUUCAAUUUUAAAGUCUUUGCUUUGAACUCUGCAUUCUGCAAAUGUGCUUCUUCACUUAUCUGAGAUCAAUUUCAGAUUGCAAAUCAUUUACACGCAUGUGUCUUUACCAGACCUCCAUUGAAAGUGACAAAUGUUUCCACUCUUCACAUAAAUGUUCUUAAAAAGUAGAUCUCAAAUUCUCUAAAACAAAAGUCUUCAACUACAUGCAAGCUUGGGCUGUGUGGAAUGAUUUUGAUCCAUGGCUUACUGGGUGCAUGGACAGAGUAAAUAAUGUAAAUGGUGAUACUGCAAGACAAGAUCAUCUUUAUUGUGAAGAAGUUCAGCCUGUGAGAUUAUGAAUAAAUUAUUGGCAUUGUAAAUCCUAUUUUUGUGUAGCCAGUGAGGAAAUGUCCCUCCUGAGCCACUAUAGGUUCAGGCCAGCCUUGGUACCUCCUACUUCCUGGUUCACCAAUUAGAGAGGGUAUAAAAGCUUCACGUAAUGAAGCUGUGUCAGCAUGCUUGUCCCUUUCGCUGUUGCACUCUGGCUUGAGAAUUCCAAGAGCAGCUCGUCAGGGCCCAGGUGCAGGAGGCUCAAAGUCCAGGCUGCGAUUGAGCGCUUGAUGAUCAACAGCGUGGCUACCCAGGUGGUGGUGAAGUAGAUGGCCCCAAAAAUGGAAACGGCAAUGCAAAAUGGAUUUUAAAAAAGCAAGGCGAACCCCUGACUGCGAUACACGGACCAAGAUUUUUGCUAUUCCCUUCUUUAAAAUUCAAUUCAAUUACUGAACUUCAGGAUUUGGGGAAUAUUAAGAUGCCAACCAGGUGUAACAUGUUUGACCUUCCUUUUGUGGAGUCACCCUGUUAGGAACCACCUGCGAUUGCUGAUUAUGGGUGGUCGACCUCAAAUGACGGAACCAUCCAGGUUAAAGGAAGCUUAUGGAUCUUGGGUAGCAGAUGGGCGAGGCUUGGGCUCUUCAUCCAGGGUGGUCAAGAGAACAUAACGGGCUCCCUGAAGUCAAGCUAAUUCUGCCUCCUGUGAGAAGUGUCGAAAUGACCUCUGCCCUCCAGCUGACUUGGGGUUUUGGUGAGGUUAGUAUCUUUUCCUCAGUACUGUUUUGUAACACUUGUUGGGCAGGCUGUUUGAUGGCUCUAAUAACAUGUGCCUCUAACUGACUCCUCAGUACUGCCUUUGUUAUGCUUUCAGGCAAAGUACUGUUGUGUUCUCUGGAUGGUCCUACAUCAACCUAAACGGCUCGUGCUUCAGGGCCUCCAAGAAGUGGUCCAGCAGCUUCAGCCUCCUGUGGACUGAGCCGUUUGAGCAAAAGUUAAGACUUUUUUUUUUUUCCCCCAGUCUUUUUGUCAUUAAAGUUGUGGCACAACUUUGAUUCUAUUGUGUGGCCCAAAGAACUAUUUUGGCUCUUUGCACUGUAACAUGAAAUAGUAAAUGGCAAAAAAUUGGUACACUAAAGUCAUUUCUGCUGAAUUUGUUGCCCAUACUGAAUGAAAAUUAGUAAAGAACUUUCUGCUGCGCAAAUUUAUGAAGCUAAUCAUUUCAAGAAACUUUUACGUGCAACGAUGAGGGAGGAGAAACUUCCCGAAGAUACUCCGCUGCACGUAUGCGCAUUUUACCGCCGCAGACGUGAUUUCCGUUGAGGCGGAUGCUAGAAGUGUGAAGAAAGCGCUGCUCAGUCCAGAAGGUAAGUUUCAGCUACCCUUGCACGAUAAAAUGUUAGUUGAUUUAGCAAACUUACUCUGCAAUUUGCCAGUCUUAACUGUUUGCGGUGAACUUGUUUUUAAAGUCUAGCUUGAAUGUUAACGGCUAGACUGUCACACAUGGAAUCCUCUAAAAUAACAUUAAAUAUAAAUUGCCUUUCAGCAAACUGCAUGCUUAAUAGCAGGUUCAAUGAUAUUUGUCAAUCUUCCAGCUAACGCUUGAAUUCGGUAUAAAUGGUUUUUAUUUUUGUCUAUGGUAGUGUAACGCAUGAUUUUGAAAGGACCAACCUCAUCAGGAAAUAUUCCCAGUUAUCAGUUUAGCAAUUUAGUAACCUUAAUAUGCGAUAUAAUGUUUCACUUGGUGCUAUUAAAACUUUACUCUUUAUCACUUAGUUAGGCCUGACUCAAGUUAGCCAGGACCAGCCCUUGGUUAAGCUGUUGUAGGCAGACUGCCUGGGGACUUCUUAGGACACACCAAGCCCAUCUUCCACCUUCCACAAUAAACCAAUGUUUAAAUGCACAUCACUAGUUCAGCUUCUUUCCAGGAGUUUUGUUUUCUCGCCUAGCAGGUCUCUAUAGAUCAUAAUUCUGUCUCUUCCUGACACCAGCUGCUGCCACCAUUAUUUUAAAUAAAAUUCAUAUUACUGUCAUCAUAUGCCAACAUUACCCUUUCCUAAAGUCUUUGCUCUUCCUCUCCACAGAAGCUUCUGUGGAUGGUGGUUUUGAUGGUGGUUGCCACUGGAGUGGUCCUGCUGUAGACAUGGCCUGCUACUUGCAAUUAUUUGUAUCAAUUCUGUUACAGGAUUUGAAUGUAUUGUACAUCCUUUACAAUGUUAAUUCUAUACACAUGACAUUCAUUGCAGGAUUUCUAUCCUGGGAGAGGGAUCUUUCCAGAUGGUCUCAUUAAGGUCUUUCCCCCCCAUUGAAGAAUUUAUUUGGAAGUUUUUCCUGUGUGAAUACAAGCCAGGGUGCAAGGUGAUGAUAUCUUGUCAAUGUUUCACAAAUUUUUCAGAAUGUUUUUUGUAAUGUCUUAUUACUUGCAGGAUGCCUUGGGCAGAAGUAGCCUUGUGAGAAAAUUGCCAUUGCACUGCAACCGAUGGGAAUUAGCUCACGGUAAGACAUGUUUCUUUUAGUGUAGUACAUGUUUCUUUUAGUGUAGUACAUGUAUUAACUUAAUGUCCAAGAAUAAAAGCAUUUGACUGUAAGAAGUUGCAAACUUGUUGAUUUUUUUUCUGUCUGUGUUGAGUAAUCUUGUCUUAUGAUUACUUGCAGGAUGACUUGGGCAGCAUUGGCCUUGUGAGAAAACUGCCACUGGGCUGCAACAGAUGUGGGAUUUCGGCUAAAGGUAAGACCAUGUUUUUAAGUGUCUUGUGGGAGGGGUUGUUUUUAAGUGUCUUGUGGGAGGGGUUGUUUUUAAGUGUCUUGUGGGAGGGGUUGUUUUUAAGUGUCUUGUGGGAGGGGUUGUUUUUAAGUGUCUUGUGGGAGGGGUUGUUUUUAAGUGUCUUGUGGGAGGGGUUGUUUUUAAGUGUCUUGUGGGAGGGGUUGUUUUUAAGUGUCUUGUGGGAGGGGUUAGGGUUAG